This 254-nucleotide ribosomal RNA is filed under the name uncultured bacterium. RNAcentral's name for it is "partial 16S ribosomal RNA". It matches the Rfam family "Bacterial small subunit ribosomal RNA", at positions 524 to 776 of the family's 1533-position model. The record is from RNAcentral.
UACGUAGGGUGCGAGCGUUGUCCGGAAUUAUUGGGCGUAAAGAGCUCGUAGGCGGUCUGUCGCGUCGGUCGUGAAAACUUGGGGCUUAACCCUGAGCUUGCGGUCGAUACGGGCAUGACUGGAGUUCGGCAGGGGAGACUGGAAUUCCUGGUGUAGCGGUGAAAUGCGCAGAUAUCAGGAGGAACACCCGUGGCGAAGGCGGCUCUCUGGGACGGUACUGACGCUGAGACGCGAAAGCGUGGGGAGCGAACAGG